ACACUGCUGAGGAGUCCCACGGUUGGACGAGACGGCCGUCCAGUGU
Molecule: non-coding RNA, 46 nt
Filed under: Schistosoma mansoni
Lineage: Eukaryota; Metazoa; Platyhelminthes; Trematoda; Strigeidida; Schistosomatidae
Source: RNAcentral